This 119-nucleotide ribosomal RNA is filed under the name Pteropus alecto (black flying fox). The record is from RNAcentral. Lineage: Eukaryota; Metazoa; Chordata; Mammalia; Chiroptera; Pteropodidae.
AUCUACGGCCAUGCCCCCCUGAACAAGCCCGAUCUCGUCUGAUCUCGGAAGCUAAGCAAGGUCGGGCCUGGUUAGUACUUGGAUGGGAGACCACCUAGGGAGACCAGGUGCUGUAAGCA